RNAcentral lists this ribosomal RNA (775 nucleotides) under uncultured Neocallimastigales. RNAcentral describes it as "partial large subunit ribosomal RNA". It matches the Rfam family "Eukaryotic large subunit ribosomal RNA", at positions 1 to 614 of the family's 3401-position model. Lineage: Eukaryota; Fungi; Neocallimastigomycota; Neocallimastigomycetes; Neocallimastigales. The record is from RNAcentral.
UUACUAGAGUAGCACUCGCAUAUCAAUAAGCGGAGGAAAAGAAACUAACAAGGAUUCCCCUAGUAACGGCGAGUGAAGCGGGAAGAGCUCAAAUUUGAAAUCUUAAAGGGUUUCCCUUUACGAAUUGUAGUUUAAAGAAGUGUUUUCUGUUGAGGUUUUGGUAAAAGUUCUUUGGAAUAGGACAUCAUAGAGGGUGAGAAUCCCGUAUUUGACCUUUACUUUCAACUUUGUGAUACACUUUCAAAGAGUCGGAUUGUUUGGGAAUGCAGUCCAAAAUGGGUGGUAAAUUUCAUCUAAAGCUAAAUAUUGGCGAGAGACCGAUAGCGAACAAGUACCGUGAGGGAAAGAUGAAAAGAACUUUGAAAAGAGAGUUAAACAGUACGUGAAAUUGUCAAAAGGGAAGCGUUUGACACCAGUGUUGUUUUUCUGAAAAUCAAUUAAAGAACUGUUUAUGCUAAGCUGUUUAGACUUUAUCAGCUAUCUGUUUAGUUUUGAGCUUUUCUUUAAUGCACUUUUCAGUUAACAAGUCAACAUCAAUUUCUUUUGCUGUAAAAAAGCUUGAGGAAGGUGGCUUGAGAUUCGUCUUAAGUGUUUAUAGCCUCUUGCCUAUGCAGUCGGAGAGAUUGAGGUCUGCAGCGUAGAUCCUUCGGGGCUAAAUGCAUUUGUGCUAAGUUAUAGCAUUUUAUAGACAACUUGUUGACUAUGAUUUGUCUUGUAGCUUACUCGCUUAUGUUAUUUUACCUACGCUUAGGAUGUUGAGUCAUCACACAUCUCU